This 497-nucleotide ribosomal RNA is filed under the name uncultured bacterium. Its description in RNAcentral is "partial 16S ribosomal RNA". It matches the Rfam family "Bacterial small subunit ribosomal RNA", at positions 28 to 507 of the family's 1533-position model. The record is from RNAcentral.
GAUGAACGCUGGCGGCGUGCCUAAUACAUGCAAGUCGAGCGAACAGACGAGGAGCUUGCUCCUCUGACGUUAGCGGCGGACGGGUGAGUAACACGUGGAUAACCUACCUAUAAGACUGGGAUAACUUCGGGAAACAGGAGCUAAUACCGGAUAAUAUAUUGAACCGCAUGGUUCAAUAGUGAAAGACGGUUUUGCUGUCACUUAUAGAUGGAUCCGCGCCGCAUUAGCUAGUUGGUAAGGUAACGGCUUACCAAGGCAACGAUGCGUAGCCGACCUGAGAGGCUGAUCUGCCACACUGGAACUGAGACACGGCCCAGCCUCCUACGGGACGCAGCAGUAGGGAAUCUUCCGCAAUGGGCGAAUGCCUGACGGAGCAACGCCGCGUGAGUUAUGAAGGUCUUCGGAUCGUAAAACUCUGUUAUUGGGGAAGAACAAAUUUGUAAGUAACUAUGCACGUCUUGACGGUACCUAAUCAGAAAGCCACGGCUAACUACGUG